UGCUGCUCUGGCUUCAGCUCUGAGAUCAAACUCCUCACACCUGAGAGAACUGAAUCUGUCUGGGAAUAAACUAGGAGAUUCAGUGAAGCUGCUUUCUGAUGUACUACAGAAUCCUCACUGUAAACUGGAGAAACUGAGGUUGUAUAAUUGUGGCAUCAGAGAUGAAGGUUGUACUGCUUUGGUUUCAGCUCUGAGAUCAAAUCCCUCACACCUGAGAGAACUGGAUCUGUCUGGAAAUAAACUACGAAAAUCUGAAGUGAAGUUACUCUCUGAUCUGAAGGAUGAUCCACAUUACAAACUGGAGACAUUAUACUAUUGACUCUCAGUAUUUAGACAUCAGUCCAGUUUCCUCAGGAUGAGCUGAUGGUGAAUAAGGAGCCGCUACAGAGACGUCACAGUCACACAAUCAACAGAAACUGCGUGAUUGGGACCCCAUAAAAUGAUGUUAAAAAAGGAUGUUCAUUUGGGGUUCAUUUUUCUGACCGACUCCCAACGCUCGUUAACCAAUCAUUGACUGUUAAUCGACAAAAUUAGAAUGUUCAAUUAGAUUUAAAUUAAAUUGGAAUGGAUAAGUUUAUGUGAACCAUCAAAAGACCCAUUAAA
Molecule: long non-coding RNA, 603 nt
Organism: Sinocyclocheilus anshuiensis
Lineage: Eukaryota; Metazoa; Chordata; Actinopteri; Cypriniformes; Cyprinidae
Exons: 3
Source: RefSeq, a predicted model, not a curated record